RNAcentral lists this ribosomal RNA (652 nucleotides) under uncultured Streptomyces sp. RNAcentral describes it as "bacterial SSU rRNA". It matches the Rfam family "Bacterial small subunit ribosomal RNA", at positions 230 to 888 of the family's 1533-position model. The record is from RNAcentral. Lineage: Bacteria; Bacillati; Actinomycetota; Actinomycetes; Kitasatosporales; Streptomycetaceae.
UUCGCGGCCCUUUAUCAGCUUGUUGGUGGGGUAAUGGCCUACCAAGGCGACGACGGGUAGCCGGCCUGAGAGGGCGACCGGCCACACUGGGACUGAGACACGGCCCAGACUCCUACGGGAGGCAGCAGUGGGGAAUAUUGCACAAUGGGCGAAAGCCUGAUGCAGCGACGCCGCGUGAGGGAUGACGGCCUUCGGGUUGUAAACCUCUUUCAGCAGGGAAGAAGCGCAAGUGACGGUACCUGCAGAAGAAGCGCCGGCUAACUACGUGCCAGCAGCCGCGGUAAUACGUAGGGCGCAAGCGUUGUCCGGAAUUAUUGGGCGUAAAGAGCUCGUAGGCGGCUUGUCACGUCGGAUGUGAAAGCCCGGGGCUUAACCCCGGGUCUGCAUUCGAUACGGGCUAGCUAGAGUGUGGUAGGGGAGAUCGGAAUUCCUGGUGUAGCGGUGAAAUGCGCAGAUAUCAGGAGGAACACCGGUGGCGAAGGCGGAUCUCUGGGCCAUUACUGACGCUGAGGAGCGAAAGCGUGGGGAGCGAACAGGAUUAGAUACCCUGGUAGUCCACGCCGUAAACGUUGGGAACUAGGUGUUGGCGACAUUCCACGUCGUCGGUGCCGCAGCUAACGCAUUAAGUUCCCCGCCUGGGGGAGUACGGACC